This is a transfer RNA of Ovis aries (sheep), 57 nucleotides long. It matches the Rfam family "tRNA", at positions 8 to 63 of the family's 71-position model. From Rfam's summary of the family: Transfer RNA (tRNA) molecules are approximately 80 nucleotides in length. Lineage: Eukaryota; Metazoa; Chordata; Mammalia; Artiodactyla; Bovidae. The record is from Rfam.
UGGCUCAGAGGUUAAAGCGUCUGCCUCCAAUGCGGGAGACCCGGGUUCGAUCCCUGG